AGCGGCCAGAGUUCGUCGUGCGCGCAUCGUAGUUUCCUUAGUUUAUGUGUGUUUCUCAACUGUAUGAAAAUACGUUGAGCUACUCUACUUGUUUCCAAGUGACACGUAAAACGAUAUUAGAAACGAUUUACUUUUGAAUCUUACUUUAAACGAUAAAACUUCGAGAAAAGAAAAAGUGUCAAGUAAAGUGUCGUAGAAAAAAAAACAAAGGUAAUAAAAAAAAAAAAAAAGAAUUUAGAUUUGAUUUAUUCGUUGUAUCUCGUCCUCACGAAAUUUCAAUUUAAACGUUGAGAACGAACGGAAGUAAUAUACGAUUCGAAUGGGAACAAUAAUUUUCUCCAACAAACAACGAUCACGAAGCUUAAUUUACAUUAAGCCAAUUUAAAGCAAUUAAACAAACAAUAAUAAUAAUAAUAAUAACAACAAGGUUAUUACGUACGUUCCUUUGAUACGAGAUAUCAUUUUCGUUAUCUCUUGGAUUUUCGAUUGA
RNAcentral lists this long non-coding RNA (490 nucleotides) under Polistes fuscatus (common paper wasp). Its description in RNAcentral is "uncharacterized LOC122516422". Lineage: Eukaryota; Metazoa; Arthropoda; Insecta; Hymenoptera; Vespidae. The record is from RNAcentral.